UAUAUGUAGACAUGUAUAUUGUUUUACAUAAAUACUAGAUUGAUUAGUUUAAUUGGGAAUGAUAUUGAAAUUAAAUUUUGUUUACAGCUAUCUUAAAUUUGCAGUUGUGCGUAUUUACAAUACAGACUAUACAGAUGUUAUUUUGCAACAUUGUAAACCAGAUUGGCUCAAAUAAAAUAUAUAGUUAUUUCAAAACUGGCCAAUAUGUUUUUACACACAAUGUUUAAUGGUUUAAAUCCAAAACUUAUGAGAAUUAUUAAACCAAUACAAUAAAAAUGAUAUUAAUUGAAAAAUACUAAAAUGUAUCAUGCAAAAUUCCAAACAAUGAUGUACUCACACACAAUUCAUAUAUAAACAUGCCAAGCUGAUGUUAACUAUGCCAAUAUUAGAUUAUAACAAUAUUGUAACUCUCUAAGGGAAUAUGAAUGACGGUUGCUGAGCCAAUGUGAUCAUCUCCUGUUUGUUGAAACGCAUUUCAUUUGUUGGGUCUAAAAAUAAGGUGCGAGUCAAAUGUUGUGCACGAAAACCAUACUUGAAUACUAACCG
Molecule: long non-coding RNA, 546 nt
Organism: Myzus persicae (green peach aphid)
Lineage: Eukaryota; Metazoa; Arthropoda; Insecta; Hemiptera; Aphididae
Exons: 3
Source: RefSeq, a predicted model, not a curated record